AUAAUGGGUCAGCGACUUAUAUUCUGUAGCAAGGUUAACCGAAUAGGGGAGCCGAAGGGAAACCGAGUCUUAACUGGGCGUUAAGUUGCAGGGUAUAGACCCGAAACCCGGUGAUCUAGCCAUGGGCAGGUUGAAGGUUGGGUAACACUAACUGGAGGACCGAACCGACUAAUGUUGAAAAAUUAGCGGAUGACUUGUGGCUGGGGGUGAAAGGCCAAUCAAACCGGGAGAUAGCUGGUUCUCCCCGAAAGCUAUUUAGGUAGCGCCUCGUGAAUUCAUCUCCGGGGGUAGAGCACUGUUUCGGCAAGGGGGUCAUCCCGACUUACCAACCCGAUGCAAACUGCGAAUACCGGAGAAUGUUAUCACGGGAGACACACGGCGGGUGCUAACGUCCGUCGUGAAGAGGGAAACAACCCAGACCGCCAGCUAAGGUCCCAAAGUCAUGGUUAAGUGGGAAACGAUGUGGGAAGGCCCAGACAGCCAGGAUGUUGGCUUAGAAGCAGCCAUCAUUUAAAGA
RNAcentral lists this ribosomal RNA (517 nucleotides) under Escherichia coli. RNAcentral describes it as "partial 23S ribosomal RNA". It matches the Rfam family "Bacterial large subunit ribosomal RNA", at positions 612 to 1129 of the family's 2925-position model. Lineage: Bacteria; Pseudomonadati; Pseudomonadota; Gammaproteobacteria; Enterobacterales; Enterobacteriaceae. The record is from RNAcentral.